This is a long non-coding RNA of Pongo pygmaeus (Bornean orangutan), 394 nucleotides long. RefSeq lists it as uncharacterized. Lineage: Eukaryota; Metazoa; Chordata; Mammalia; Primates; Hominidae. The transcript is spliced from 3 exons. The record is from RefSeq and is a predicted model, not a curated record.
CCCAGCUUUGAAUUUUAACUCCUCAAAGUCCAAAGUGACUUCUCAGGAAUGACCCACACCAUGAGCUCAUAUCUAUCUUCCUGAGGCCUGCCCAGACCUGUUGAAGUAGAGAGAAGAAGGCAAGGCCCCUGCUCUUGAGAAGCAGAAAACGUAUGAGGAAGAAAAUAGCAGAUGAGAAGAAUCAACCAAAUUCCGGAAGCUGGAAAACAGAUGCAAGAAGGCCCUUGAAUGAUGCCAGCACCUUGAUAUUGGACUUCCUAGCCUCCAGAACCAUAAGCCAAUACAUUUCUGUUCCAUAAAAAUUACCCAGUUCCAGGUAUUCUGCUAUAGCAGCACAAAAUGGACUAAAACAAUGUUGGCACAAGACUCAGUGCUGGGCCUGGCAUACAACGAG